AUUUAGCUGACGAGUCCUAAAUAGGACGAAACGCGCAUCCUGGAU
RNAcentral lists this non-coding RNA (45 nucleotides) under Schistosoma mansoni. The record is from RNAcentral. Lineage: Eukaryota; Metazoa; Platyhelminthes; Trematoda; Strigeidida; Schistosomatidae.